This 468-nucleotide ribosomal RNA is filed under the name uncultured bacterium. RNAcentral describes it as "partial 16S ribosomal RNA". It matches the Rfam family "Bacterial small subunit ribosomal RNA", at positions 28 to 507 of the family's 1533-position model. The record is from RNAcentral.
GACGAACGCUGGCGGCGUGCUUAACACAUGCAAGUCGAACGGAAAGGCCCUGCUUUUGUGGGGUGCUCGAGUGGCGAACGGGUGAGUAACACGUGAGUAACCUGCCCUUGACUUUGGGAUAACUUCAGGAAACUGGGGCUAAUACCGGAUAGGAGCUCCUGCUGCAUGGUGGGGGUUGGAAAGUUUCGGCGGUUGGGGAUGGACUCGCGGCUUAUCAACUUGUUGGUGGGGUAGUGGCUUACCGAGGCUUUGACGGGUAGCCGGCCUGAGAGGGUGACCGGCCACAUUGGGACUGAGAUACGGCCCAGACUCCUACGGGAGGCAGCAGUGGGGAAUAUUGCACAAUGGGCGGAAGCCUGAUGCAGCAACGCCGCGUGCGGGAUGACGGCCUUCGGGAUGUAAACCGCUUUCGCCUGUGACGAAGCGUGAGUGACGGUAAUGGGUAAAGAAGCACCGGCUAACUACGUG